Molecule: ribosomal RNA, 211 nt
Filed under: Acinetobacter baumannii
Lineage: Bacteria; Pseudomonadati; Pseudomonadota; Gammaproteobacteria; Moraxellales; Moraxellaceae
Description: partial 23S ribosomal RNA
Rfam family: Bacterial large subunit ribosomal RNA
Source: RNAcentral
GUAACCCGACACAGGUGGAUGAGGAGAGAAUCCUAAGGCCGACGGGAGAAGUGUUGUUAAGGAACUCGGCAAAAUGACCCCGUAACUUCGGGAGAAGGGGUGCCUCGAGAGAGGCCGCAGAGAAUAGGCCCAAGCGACUGUUUACCAAAAACACAGGUCUCUGCUAAAUCGAAAGAUGACGUAUAGGGGCUGACGCCUGCCCGGUGCUGGA